RNAcentral lists this ribosomal RNA (321 nucleotides) under Bacillus sp. A0031. Its description in RNAcentral is "bacterial SSU rRNA". It matches the Rfam family "Bacterial small subunit ribosomal RNA", at positions 28 to 339 of the family's 1533-position model. The record is from RNAcentral. Lineage: Bacteria; Bacillati; Bacillota; Bacilli; Caryophanales; Bacillaceae.
GACGAACGCUGGCGGCGUGCCUAAUACAUGCAAGUCGAGCGGAUCGAUGGGAGCUUGCUCCCUGAGAUCAGCGGCGGACGGGUGAGUAACACGUGGGUAACCUGCCUGUAAGACUGGGAUAACUCCGGGAAACCGGGGCUAAUACCGGAUAACACCUACCCCCGCAUGGGGGAAGGUUGAAAGGUGGCUUCGGCUAUCACUUACAGAUGGACCCGCGGCGCAUUAGCUAGUUGGUGAGGUAAUGGCUCACCAAGGCGACGAUGCGUAGCCGACCUGAGAGGGUGAUCGGCCACACUGGGACUGAGACACGGCCCAGACUCC